This 445-nucleotide ribosomal RNA is filed under the name uncultured bacterium. Its description in RNAcentral is "partial 16S ribosomal RNA". It matches the Rfam family "Bacterial small subunit ribosomal RNA", at positions 354 to 796 of the family's 1533-position model. The record is from RNAcentral.
GUGAGGAAUAUUGCGCAAUGGAGGCAACUCUGACGCAGCCAUGCCGCGUGCAGGAAGAAGGCGCUACGCGUUGUAAACUGCUUUUAACCGGGAAGAAACCCCAGGACGUGUCCUGGGUUGACGGUACCGGAGGAAUAAGCACCGGCUAACUUCGUGCCAGCAGCCGCGAUAAUACGAAGGGUGCAAGCGUUAUCCGGAUUCAUUGGGUUUAAAGGGUGCGUAGGCGGAGCGUUAAGUCAGUGGUGAAAUCCUGCAGCUUAACUGUAGACUUGCCAUUGAUACUGGCGCUCUUGAGUGCGCUUGAAGUGGGCGGAAUGUGCCGUGUAGCGGUGAAAUGCUUAGAUAUGGCACAGAACACCAAUUGCGAAGGCAGCUCACUAAGGCGAUACUGACGCUGAGGCACGAAAGCGUGGGGAUCGAACAGGAUUAGAAACCCUUGUAGUCC